Molecule: long non-coding RNA, 1332 nt
Filed under: Macaca fascicularis (crab-eating macaque)
Lineage: Eukaryota; Metazoa; Chordata; Mammalia; Primates; Cercopithecidae
Description: lncRNA (ENSMFAG00000059920.1)
Source: RNAcentral
AUUGGCCAAAAGAUAGAGUGUGUCCCCAAGCAAGGCCAAUCAGAAUCCUCCUCUGGAAAAAUACGAGCCACUCACGUGUGGGCACUGCCAAGGCUGCAGGGCUGACCCAGCACGUGGAGACGGCAGGAUCAGGGAUGUGAGAGAGAGGGCAAGACCUCCGCUAAAGAAGAGACAAGCAGACGUGAGAGUCUGGGGGAGUGCCUUGGGAUUUUGAGCGCCUGAGGCUGUGGUUGCUUCCUUGGGUCUAUGAGCCAGAGCCUUCCAGGCCACAUGAAGCCUAACUCUCCUGGAGCUGGGGUGAACUAGGGUCUGUUACUCAACUGAGAGAGGCCAGGUUAAGACAAUAUUUCCGUCUCCCCUGUAGAAAUGAGGGCUACUUGAGGGAAGGGACUGGGGCUUCUUCAUCUCUAUUGAGAGGUGAAGCAAGCUGGACUUCCUGCAUAAAGGGCGGACUUGGAGAACUUUUCUGUCUAGCUAAAGGAAUGUAAAUGCACCAAGCAGCGCUCUGUAUCUAGCUAACGCUUUGUAAACGCACCAAUCAGCACUCUGUAAAAACGGACCUAUCAGCUCUCUGUAAAAUGGACCAGUCAACGCUCUAUAAAAUGGACCAAUCAGCAGGAUGUGGGCGGGGCCAAAUAAGGAAAUAAACGCUGGUCCCUAGAGCCCGCAACAGCAACCAGCUCAGGUCCCUUUCCAAGCUGGGAAGCUUUGUUCUUUCUCUUUGCUCUUCCUAAUAAAUCUUGCUGCUGCUCACUCUUUGGGUCUGCAUUACCUUUAUGAGGUGUAACACUCACUGCAGAGGUCUGCCGCUUCCCUCCUGAAGUCAGGGAGACCGCAAACCCACUGGAAGGGAGAAACUCCGGACACAUCUGAACAUCUGAAGGAACAAACUCCGGACAUGCCAUCUUUAAGAACUGUAACACUCACGGCUAGGAUCUGCAGCUUCAUUCUUGAAGUCCGCGAGACCAAGAACCCACCGGAAGGAAUAAAUUCUGAACGCACUAGUGCAGUGCCUGAAGGCAUCAGGCACAGCCAGAUGGGCUGCCGUUGGUUGCAAGCCUGGAAGAGUCAGAAAGAAACCUGAGGCUGUCAAGGAAGCUUGAAGGUGGGUCUUCAACUCUGGGCCCAGAAGGAGCAUCACCUCCACCUGGCCUUGUCUGGUUCAUCUACAGCCUGCAGGAAGAGAGGGGGAGGGGGGAGAGGGGGAAAGGGAGAGAGGAAGAGAGGGGAGAGGAAGACAGGGGAGAGGAAGAGAGAGAGAGGGAGAGGGACAGAGGGAGAGAGGGAGAGGAAGAGAGGAGGGAGGGAGGGAGAGAGAGAGAGAGAGAGAGA